Molecule: long non-coding RNA, 940 nt
Filed under: Brassica napus (rape)
Lineage: Eukaryota; Viridiplantae; Streptophyta; Magnoliopsida; Brassicales; Brassicaceae
Description: long non-coding RNA (BNAP_LNC007827)
Source: RNAcentral
UGCCAGGAAAGAGAGAGAGAGGCGUUGCAUCCUACUAUGGCGCCAGACAUAGCUAUCAACAACUCUGUCGAACACUGUUCUUAAAUCAGACACGUAAUGAUGAAAGAAGAUGAAGUCGACGCGGAGAAAAGUUUAUAAAAAGGGAGCGAGAGGAAGGCAGGAGAACAAGAGAAAAGGCGAAGAGAAUACGGAGAUAAAGAUUAACAUUGGCGACGAGUUCAUUUUUUUUUGCAUUUUCUCCUUUCGGCAUUUAGCUCAAACACUUCAAUAAACGAAACUUGUGGAUCCCUAAAUCACUAUUUAUUGUUUGAUUAAGGAUCCAUAAACUCGAUUACCGUUUUUAGGAUUCAACACAGAGCAUAUCCUCACCAAAUCUACUAAACCCUUUCAAAAUCAGCUUCUUCUUAAUCUUCAACGGUAAGUUCCAAACAGACGUUUAUAAGAAGCUUAUUCUCGUCAUCAAAACCUGUUGGAAGUCUGUCUUCUUCCUUGAUAAAAUGAAUAGACUGACUUUUUCGAUUUUUACAGUAGUUUUACCAACCAAACCGUUCGUCGUAGCCGGAUUAAUAGCUAGUUGGAAAACAUGUAAUGAACAUUAUAAUUUAGUAUAUACAAACAAAAAAAUCAAACUAAAUAGAAAAUGAAGCUAUGAAAAAGGCAAGUUGAAAUGAUCAAAAGACAAAAACACAGUCAGCUUUUGUCUCAGCAAAUAUGUGUCGUAUCAUUGAUCAAACAAAGUCUUCAAGGAGAAAGAAGAGACGGCUCCGCGCGCGACGAGCCAAACAGCACUGGGUCAGGGAGACUGUGGCGUAGGGCUACUACUUUUAGGCCAAAUUACUUUUCUUUUUUUUUUGCUCAUUUUCUCUGAAAGAUCAAUAUGUAUUUUCUUUUAAAUAAUAUGUAGUUCGUGAUACAAAAACACACUAGAUAUUAAUCCGCA